This 253-nucleotide ribosomal RNA is filed under the name uncultured bacterium. Its description in RNAcentral is "partial 16S ribosomal RNA". It matches the Rfam family "Bacterial small subunit ribosomal RNA", at positions 524 to 776 of the family's 1533-position model. The record is from RNAcentral.
UACGUAGGGUGCAAGCGUUGUCCGGAAUUAUUGGGCGUAAAGAGCUCGUAGGCGGUUCGUCGCGUCGGCUGUGAAAUCCCGAGGCUCAACCUCGGGUCUGCAGUCGAUACGGGCGGACUGGAGUUCGGCAGGGGAGACUGGAAUUCCCGGUGUAGCGGUGAAAUGCGCAGAUAUCGGGAGGAACACCGGUGGCGAAGGCGGGUCUCUGGGCCGGUACUGACGCUGAGGAGCGAAAGCGUGGGGAGCGAACAGG